Molecule: long non-coding RNA, 293 nt
Filed under: Mytilus galloprovincialis (Mediterranean mussel)
Lineage: Eukaryota; Metazoa; Mollusca; Bivalvia; Mytilida; Mytilidae
Source: RNAcentral
CAUAACAAAAUAAAUAAAUUUGGUGUAGUUACUGUCUUCUGAUUGGUUAAAAUUAUUAGUUUUAUUUUCAAUGUUGUCAAUUUUUAUGGCGACACGCCCACUCUGACGUUGUGUAUUCAUACGCCAACAUGUGUGUACGUUGUUAUUGUUAAUAUAAAUAAUAUAAAAAGUUCUUUGAGCCUUAUUUUUGAUGAAAAUUUAUUUAUAAUGAAUGGCAAUAAUUUAUUUUGAUUUUAUUGAACCAUAAAACUAAUUUUUGACUCUUCACAUUUUACAUAAUCCGCUUCGCGGAU